AUUGAACGCUAGCGGGAUGCCUUACACAUGCAAGUCGAACGGAUUGGCGAACGGGUGAGUAAUGUAUCGGAACUUGCCCAGUAGCGGGGGAUACCUACGCGAAAGAGUAGCUAAUACCGCAUACUAUUGGAGCGGCCGAUAUCGGAUUAGCUAGUUGGUGGGGUAACGGCUCACCAAGACGACGCUCCGUAGCUGGUUGGAGAGGACGACCAGCCACACGGGGCCUGAGAGACGGCCCAGACUCCUACGGGAGGCAGCAGUGGGGAAUUUUGGACAAUGGGGGAAACCCUGAUCCAGCCAUCCCGCGUGUGCGUUGAAGGCAUUCGGGUUGUAAAGCAUUGUUGGUAGGAAAGCGGUACCUGCAGAAUAAGCACCGGCUAACUACGUGCCAGCAGCCGCGGUAAUUC
Molecule: ribosomal RNA, 407 nt
Filed under: uncultured bacterium
Lineage: Bacteria
Description: partial 16S ribosomal RNA
Rfam family: Bacterial small subunit ribosomal RNA
Source: RNAcentral